Molecule: ribosomal RNA, 215 nt
Filed under: Mugil environmental sample
Lineage: Eukaryota; Metazoa; Chordata; Actinopteri; Mugiliformes; Mugilidae
Description: partial 16S ribosomal RNA
Source: RNAcentral
UAGACACCAGAACAGACCAUGUUGACUACCCCCUAAAAUAGGUAAUAAUUAUUGAACCCUGUUCCCCGUCUUUGGUUGGGGCGACCACGGGGAACAAGAAAACCCCCACGUGGACUGAGAGCACACCACUCCCACAACUACGAGCCACAGCUCUAAACUACAGAAUUUCUGACCAAAAAGAUCCGGCAAUGCCGAUCAACGGACCCAGUUACCCU